Long non-coding RNA from Chinchilla lanigera (long-tailed chinchilla), 558 nucleotides. RefSeq lists it as uncharacterized. NCBI's taxonomy places the organism in Eukaryota, Metazoa, Chordata, Mammalia, Rodentia, Chinchillidae. The record is from RefSeq and is a predicted model, not a curated record. The transcript has 2 exons.
CAGAUCACUGGAAGUCCAUCUGGAAAACAAGGCAAGAGUGUAAAGCUACUGAAAGAGUAGGCCCACAAACCCUGCUGCGAAAGAAGAGAAAGUCAAUUUCAGCACAGAAACUUAAAGAAAGGUGACUAGGUGAGGCAGGAGAGCCCAGAGACCCCAUCUACAGGCUGGGAAAAGGAACAGAAGGAGGGGGCAGCAGGGUCAGGCCAUUAUCACCUGUCUGAAGAGCCCAAUGGCAAGCAAGAUGCCCUGGAGCGAGUCCAAGAGAGUGCGGGCAAGUUCAGCGCCCCCAGUGCUGCUCACCAGUGCUGCUCCAAAAAUCCCAGGCCAAGAGGGGCUGAAACCCCACCCAGAGGGGCCGGAAGAGAACCAAAGACCAGGGAACCUCAGUCCCUGAGAAGAAGAUCGGAGAGUCUAGGGGCCUGAGAGGCCACAGAACUGGGUAUAAUCUGAGAAGUGGUCCAAGGUCUGUGCACCACAACUGAGCUGCUGAGGUAGUCGGAAAAUUGCACACCAAAACCUACCAGUGAUGGUGCAAUAAAACUUGCCUCUGCGACCCUG